CUGGCCAACAUGGUGAAUUAUAUUUUGAUCAGAUCGCUUAAUGAUUAGGGAUUGAUCCAUGCUAACUAAAAAAUUAGUAUGACUGAUUUAGGUCCCUAGAUUGACUUAUCUAUGGUCCUCUUCAUGACUUGAUGAAGUCAGUGGGAGGAUAUAUGACUUAUCAGUUGAAUUGAUUUGUCUUUAAUCUUCUGUGAUCUGACUUGAUGAAGUCAGCGAGAGGAUUUAUGACAUGUCAAUUGGAUCAGCUUAUCUCUAACCUUCCAUGAACUGACUUGACGAAGUCAGUGAGAGGAUUAUGAUUAGCUGGUCAGUCUCUCUAAUUCUCUUCAAAUAUAUUAAUCAAAUUUUCUAAAUUAUUAGAUCCUAAAAAUGAGAUAGUUAUGAUGAUAACUAGAUCAUAGCCUUCAAUUAAGUUGGGUGAUAAUGGAUCCAUUAGUUUGAUAAUCAUUAGAGGCCCAA
Molecule: long non-coding RNA, 459 nt
Filed under: Elaeis guineensis (African oil palm)
Lineage: Eukaryota; Viridiplantae; Streptophyta; Magnoliopsida; Arecales; Arecaceae
Description: long non-coding RNA (EGUI_LNC058111)
Source: RNAcentral